RNAcentral lists this non-coding RNA (480 nucleotides) under Solanum tuberosum (potato). Its description in RNAcentral is "Bacterial small subunit ribosomal RNA". It matches the Rfam family "Bacterial small subunit ribosomal RNA", at positions 368 to 817 of the family's 1533-position model. The record is from Rfam by way of RNAcentral. Lineage: Eukaryota; Viridiplantae; Streptophyta; Magnoliopsida; Solanales; Solanaceae.
CCAAUGUAGUGCAAGCGAUGGGUAGUGCUUGCCAUAAAGAAGCUAGCCAGAAAGCAGGUCAGGCAGGCGAGCGAUAGUACAAGCAAGCUAACACGCGAGCGAGGUUGAAGGCCCACGGGUCAUGAACUUCUUUUCCCGAAGAAGAAGCAACGACGGUAUCUGGGGAAUAAGCAUCAGCUAACUCUGUGCCAGCAGUCGCGGUAAUACAGAGGAUGCAAGCGUUAUCCGGAAUGAUUGGGCGUAAAGCGUCUAUAGGUGGCUUUUUAAGUUCGUCAUCAAAUCCUAGGGCUCAACCCUAGAUAAGCGGUGGAAACUACCAAGCUGGAGUACGGUAGGGGCAGAGGGAAUUUCCGGUGGAGCGGUGAAAUGCGUAGAGAUCGGAAAGAACACUAACGGCGAAAGCACUCUGCUGGGCCGACACUAACACUCAGAGGUGGAGAUUCAGCCAAAAGCUGAAGAAGUGUCCAAACCACAGUCUCA